This 533-nucleotide ribosomal RNA is filed under the name uncultured Enterobacteriaceae bacterium. RNAcentral describes it as "bacterial SSU rRNA". It matches the Rfam family "Bacterial small subunit ribosomal RNA", at positions 9 to 557 of the family's 1533-position model. Lineage: Bacteria; Pseudomonadati; Pseudomonadota; Gammaproteobacteria; Enterobacterales; Enterobacteriaceae. The record is from RNAcentral.
GAGUUUGAUCAUGGAUCACAUUGAACGCUGGCGGCAGGCUUAACACAUGCAAGUCGAACGGUAAAGUAGCUUGCUACUUACGAGUGGCGGACGGGUGAGUAACGUAUGGGAAUUUACCGAAUGGAGGGGGACAACAGUUGGAAACGGCUGCUAAUACCGCAUAACGUCGAGAGACCAAAGGGUUUCGACUUGCCAUUUGAUGAGCCCAUAUGAGAUUAGCUAGUUGGUGUGGUAAUGGCUCACCAAGGCGACGAUCUCUAGCUGGUUUGAGAGGAUGACCAGCCACACUGGGACUGAGACACGGCCCAGACUCCUACGGGAGGCAGCAGUGGGGAAUAUUGCACAAUGGGGGGAACCCUGACGCAGCCAUGCCGCGUGUAUGAAGAAGGCCUUAGGGUUGUAAAGUACUUUCGUGGAGGAGGAAGGGUUUACGUAAUCGUGGACAUUGACGUUACUCCAAGAAGAAGCACCGGCUAACUCCGUGCCAGCAGCCGCGGUAAUACGGAGGGUGCGAGCGUUAUCGGAAUGACUGG